GCUGUCAGGGUCAAAAGGUCUGAAUCCACAUGAGCUCGCUCAUCAGUGGAUGAAAAACCUUGAGACCCGCCCCGAUAUGAGCAUAAAAGUGAGAUGACCAUCUCAGGAUAUGCGAAUAGCGGGCAGAAUUGUGCGCGUGCGAAGCACAGAACAAUUCGCAG
RNAcentral lists this small RNA (161 nucleotides) under human gut metagenome. RNAcentral describes it as "Clostridiales-1 RNA". It matches the Rfam family "Clostridiales-1 RNA". The record is from RNAcentral.